GUAGGUGGCAAGCGUUGUCCGGAAUUAUUGGGCGUAAAGCGCGCGCAGGCGGUUCUUUAAGUCUGAUGUGAAAGCCCACGGCUCAACCGUGGAGGGUCAUUGGAAACUGGAGAACUUGAGUACAGAAGAGGAAAGCGGAAUUCCACGUGUAGCGGUGAAAUGCGUAGAGAUGUGGAGGAACACCAGUGGCGAAGGCGGCUUUCCGGUCUGUAACUGACGCUGAGGCGCGAAAGCGUGGGGAGCAAACAGGGAUUAGAUACCCUGGUAGUCCACGCCGUAAACGAUGAGUGCUAAGUGUUAGGGGGUUUCCCGCCCCUUAGUGCUGCAGCUAACGCAUUAAGCACUCCGCCUGGGGAGUACGGCCGCAAGGCUG
This 373-nucleotide ribosomal RNA is filed under the name uncultured organism. Its description in RNAcentral is "partial 16S ribosomal RNA". It matches the Rfam family "Bacterial small subunit ribosomal RNA", at positions 527 to 896 of the family's 1533-position model. The record is from RNAcentral.